UGGUGGAGCGAUUUGUCUGGUUAAUUCCGAUAACGAACGAGACUCUAGCCAACUAAAUAGUCCGUCGAUGCAUUGUUGUCGGCGCAUAAAAGACUUCUUAGAGGGACAAGUGGCAGAAAAAGCCACACGAGAUUGAGCAAUAACA
Molecule: ribosomal RNA, 145 nt
Filed under: uncultured eukaryote
Lineage: Eukaryota
Description: partial 18S ribosomal RNA
Rfam family: Eukaryotic small subunit ribosomal RNA
Source: RNAcentral